CAGCCAGGGACCUCUGGGAGGUCACAGCCAGCAAACCCGGGAAGGUGGUGGAGGGGAGCAGGGGCUUCCGGAGCCCAAGUGUCAGGCUGAAGGCCCUGCCUGCCGGGGAGGCCUCUGUGGUGAGCUCUUCCUACAAUGGAUCCCACCCAGAUGGCUCUCACCAGGCCUCUCCCUCUGCUCUAGGGCCUCCCAGAAUUCUCCGCCACCCCCACCUGCCGCCUGCCUCCUCCUCCAGGAAGCUUUCCCUGACCACCCCACCCACGAGGGUCUGCUCUGUCUCCUGCCCAUCACAGCUGCGCCACAGCACCUUCCCCAGCCUCCUCGUGUGUGCUGGCUCCACAUCACCAACUAGACCGGCUGGCCAGUCCUUCCAUGGAGAAGAAGAAGCCAAGAAAAAGGAAGAAAACCCACAAGUGACUAGGACUGGGGUGGGGGCUGAGCAAUGUCAACUCCUCCUCACUGACGUGGCUCCUUCAUUCCUCCCAGCAGCCCAUGGCACAGAGGAGGUGAGGGGGAGGCGGACGUGCCGUGGGUUGGUCUCGUUGUGACUUCUCCCUACAAAUGGGACAGAGAGCCCAUUGGGGUAGACAUUUGUCCCCAGCCCUCUCACAGCACCUAAGACUCACUAGGCCUGGAUGUGACACUCGAGGGGCCCUGUCACUUGGGCUCCAGGCCCCAGGCUCAUACAUGGGUCUGUAUCACUUCACUCUCCAUUUCUGGCUUUUCCUGUGCCCCCUCCCCGUCUCUGCACCUUGCCAAGCUGCUCCUGAGCUCUGAGCAAGCCUUCCCUUCGCAAGUCCCAGCACAGCAGGACACCCUGCCUCCCUCCCCAGCCCAGCCUGGGGACCACUUCCCCCUUCCUUAUUAGCAGCUGUGAAAAGAGAAGGCGUCCUCUCGCGGUCAUCCUCGCAGCAGACUUGGAGGAAUUGAAGGACACACUGCGAAGCGUGAAGAAAACACCCUCGCUUGCCAAGAGGCCCAGGCGGCUAUUUUAAUCGAGUGGAACAGCCCUCUCUUCAUGGAAAAUUUGCUACUCCAGCACCUGUGGCACUGAAGGUGGUGGCUCACUCUUCCCUGGGCUGCCCAGGGUCACUCUCACCACCGCCAGGACUGGCUGCCAGCUCAGAUAAUUAUGCCCACCACCCUGCCUCCAGCCUUUCCAGCCAGCCCUGCGUCCUGGGAGCAGCUCCGCCUCCGACCUCCGCGGUGUCUGGAAUAAGCAGCGGCAGCAGCAGGAUCCUCCCCACACCCUCAGAGUAGACACACAAAUUGUGAGCUGUACGAUUUAAUACUACUAUGUUAUUUAGUCAUAGAAAGAGACGAAGCACGGAUACGUGCUACUACAACAUGGACGAACCUUGGGAACAGCCGCUCUCAUUGGGGAUACGCCAGUCACUGAUGAUAUGACCGCGCCGAUGCGCAAAGUUCGGAACAGGCAAAUCCACCUGAAUGGGAGGCCUGUCACCUGCCAGGUGCACGGGGAGGAGGGAACGGGAAGGGACUGUACCACGAGAAUGGGCUUUUUGGGGUGACAGAAACGUCAGUGAUAG
This is a long non-coding RNA of Fukomys damarensis (Damara mole-rat), 1550 nucleotides long. The record is from Ensembl. NCBI's taxonomy places the organism in Eukaryota, Metazoa, Chordata, Mammalia, Rodentia, Bathyergidae.